GACUGCCAGGGAUAACCUGGAGGAAGGUGGGGAUGACGUCAAAUCAUCAUGCCCCUUAUGCUUAGGGCUACACGCGUGCUACAAUGGGUAGUACAGAGGGUUGCCAAGCCGUAAGGUGGAGCUAAUCCCUUAAAGCUACUCUCAGUUCGGAUUGUAGGCUGAAACUCGCCUACAUGAAGCUGGAGUUACUAGUAAUCGCAG
This 201-nucleotide ribosomal RNA is filed under the name Clostridioides difficile. RNAcentral's name for it is "partial 16S ribosomal RNA". It matches the Rfam family "Bacterial small subunit ribosomal RNA", at positions 1147 to 1347 of the family's 1533-position model. Lineage: Bacteria; Bacillati; Bacillota; Clostridia; Peptostreptococcales; Peptostreptococcaceae. The record is from RNAcentral.